AUUGAACGCUCGCGGGAUGCUUUACACAUGCAAGUCGAACGGCAGCACGAAAAGAGCUUGCUCUUUUUGGUGGCGAGUGGCGAACGGGUGAGUAAUGUAUCGGAACGUACCCAGUAGCGGGGGAUAACUACGCGAAAGCGUGGCUAAUACCGCAUACGCCCUACGGGGGAAAGGGGGGGAUCGCAAGACCUCUCACUAUUGGAGCGGCCGAUAUCGGAUUAGCUAGUUGGUGGGGUAAAGGCUCACCAAGGCAACGAUCCGUAGCUGGUUUGAGAGGACGACCAGCCACACUGGGACUGAGACACGGCCCAGACUCCUACGGGAGGCAGCAGUGGGGAAUUUUGGACAAUGGGGGAAACCCUGAUCCAGCCAUCCCGCGUGUGCGAUGAAGGCCUUCGGGUUGUAAAGCACUUUUGGCAGGGAAGAAACGGCGCUGACUAAUACUUGGCGCAACUGACGGUACCUGCAGAAUAAGCACCGGCUAACUACGUG
This 492-nucleotide ribosomal RNA is filed under the name uncultured bacterium. RNAcentral describes it as "partial 16S ribosomal RNA". It matches the Rfam family "Bacterial small subunit ribosomal RNA", at positions 30 to 507 of the family's 1533-position model. The record is from RNAcentral.